Long non-coding RNA from Pangasianodon hypophthalmus (striped catfish), 599 nucleotides. RefSeq lists it as uncharacterized. NCBI's taxonomy places the organism in Eukaryota, Metazoa, Chordata, Actinopteri, Siluriformes, Pangasiidae. The record is from RefSeq and is a predicted model, not a curated record. The transcript has 3 exons.
CACAUGCACAUCUGAACAUUCAUGCAGUUAUCCAAUCAGCUAAUCAUGUGGCAGCAGCCCAGUGCAUAAAAUCAUGCAGAUACAGAUCAAGAGCUUCAGUUAAUGUUCACAUCAAACAUAAGAAUGGGGAAAACUAAACUAUUCUUUACAACCAUGGUGAGCAGAAAAGCAUCUCAGAACACACAUCAUGCCAGAAGACAACAUCAGGUUCCAUGGUGCAUAAGGUUCCAGUCAGCCAAGAACAGAAAUCUGAGGCUACAGUGGGCACAGACUCACCAAAAUUGGACAGAUGAAGACUGAAAAAAGACCAGAUGAUGUUUUUCCAUCUUCAACUGUUCAGUUUCUUGACAGCACAGAAGCCUGUAAGUAAGUGUGGUAGCAGUGCAGAUGGGUACUAGCAGCUGGGAGAUUUUUUUCCACUAGGCCCAAGAUGUAUUUAGGCGUCUAUUGGUCAACUGGAAUUUGGAGCCACAAGUACACUGAUCAUUAAUCACACCCACUCAAUGUACUGCAGAAUUAACUACAAAGCUAGUUAAUGAAUAAAAGUUGGAAUGUAACCUUUUCUGAAAUGCUAUGUUUAUUCUCACCCUGUAUUAAUG